UAGGGUAACUUGAGAUCCAUGGUGAACCGCUUAAGAGGAAGCCAUUACACGUUCGCCACAUCAACCUCGCCAAAGAUGCGGGCCUAUGCUCCCACUGCCGACUUCAGCAACGUCCAACACAGUGAGCUAAGGUGAUCAGCCUGCAAUAUUGACUGUUUAAGUGGGCAUAGGAUAGAGACAGCCUAGCUCUAAGUUGUUGAGGUGUUGAUUAACUUUUAAUUUGGGAAUGGAUUGAGCAGGGGAGUGAAAGGGGAUUUUGUACCUGUAUACGUGGCGAUGGGGAUGAUAGCGAUGUCAGUGACGCUUGGGCUUUGCACGGCGAUGCACGAGCUGAUGUAUUCCCCGGCGGUGCACUUAAGGAAGAGCAGGAGGGAGACUCUGCCGGAGGUGGAGGACCCUGAUACUGUAGUUGAUGAGGGUGACAAGUUCGUCAAAAAAUCCUUGCUUAGAAAGGUGGCCCACGUCCAGGAGCUUGAACUUGUCCCUCAUCCCAUCGAAGACCCUCUCACACGGUGACUACAUUAUCCAUUUUCUUAAUUAAUUUCCUUGCUUUUUUUAUUAGGCAUUCUUUGUUUAUUUAUAUUUACACAGAGGCAGGGUUAGCAAACAAUAUCUUGACCCUUCCUACUAAUACUCUGAAUUAAUUGUGCAGGCCGCCACGCGCAGUGACACUCAAGUCAGUGGGCAUAGAUCCAAAAAGCCACUAAGUGCUCCUGGAGCAGGGGACUAUUCAUUUGGCUUGUAAUACAAUGUAUGGCUCCUCAUGACAACAUAUGACAUGAGGAUUCGUCUGCGUCUGUAAACUACUGUGAUUAUAUCGGUAAUAAUAAGAGUGUUGCUUCUGUGC
Molecule: long non-coding RNA, 847 nt
Filed under: Vitis vinifera (wine grape)
Lineage: Eukaryota; Viridiplantae; Streptophyta; Magnoliopsida; Vitales; Vitaceae
Description: long non-coding RNA (VVIN_LNC005599)
Source: RNAcentral